This 139-nucleotide small nucleolar RNA is filed under the name Amazona collaria (yellow-billed parrot). Its description in RNAcentral is "Small nucleolar RNA SNORA14 (ENSACOG00000012399.1)". It matches the Rfam family "Small nucleolar RNA SNORA14". Rfam says of the family: ACA14 is a member of the H/ACA class of snoRNA that guide the sites of modification of uridines to pseudouridines. The record is from Rfam by way of RNAcentral. Lineage: Eukaryota; Metazoa; Chordata; Aves; Psittaciformes; Psittacidae.
CUGCAUUUUGAACCCUCCUGGCAGCGUCAUUAUCAGCUUCCAGGGUGAGAGUGAAUACCAGAGAAAACUGUUGAUUAAUCCAAAACAUUGGGCUUCCCCCCCCCCCUUGGCUCUGCAUUACUUUACAUCUUCAACAUUC